UGUUAAAAGAUUGAAUAUACCUCUAUGGAAUGACUUCCAGAGGGUGGAUGGCAAAACUAAACUGGUGGAAACCAGGGUCUGUGAGAACUUUAUGGAUCAGAGCACCAUGCUAGCCCUGCAGUCGUAAAUGUCUAUAUUAUUAAAGCCACUAUUUUGGAGUCUCUUGUUCUCAACUGAAUUUAAUCUUACCUGAUACUCUGUCUCAGGGCCUUUGCACUUGCUUUUUAUUUUUUAUUUAUUUAUUUUUUUUCUGCCUGGGAUGUGGUCUUCUGUCUUGGAUAUGGCUGACUCAUUCUCUUCCUUCAGGUUAACCCAAAUAUCUCUGACAGGCCUUCCCUGGCCACCGUAUCUAAAAUAGCUCACGUUCCCAUUUAUUCUCUGUCAAUCACGUGCCCCUCUAUUUUCUUAAUAGCAUUUAUAAUUUAUCAUUAUCUUGUUUAUUCACUGUUUAUUUUCUACCUCCCUUCACCCUACAAAAAUAUAAACUACACCUGUUUUUUUCCACUACUUUAUCCUUCACACAUGGUAGGCAUUAGAUAAAUGCUGUUAAAUUAGUGAGUGAAUGAAUCAACAAAAUUCUUAUCCAAGAUUAGCUAGACUUUUUAAAUAAUAAAUGAGUAAAUGUCAACAGAUAUCCUUAACACAAAAUUUGUAAAAUCCAAUCUAGGAAACAGGAAAAACAGUACUAAACUAAUAGGAUAUUCCUGACCUCCAACUUAAUAAAGAAGAUGUCUACCUUUUUCUGGGAAAUCUGUAAGGCUAGUACAAGUUAAAAAAAAAAAGACUGCACUGCAGUAUAUCCAGGGCUAAAAUUCACACUAAAAGGGGUCUGAAUUAUAAUUUACUAGACCUCAGUUUCUUCAUCUUAAAUAUGUGUAAGCUUUGAAUGGUAAUACUAUAACAGUUAAAAGUUUAAUAGUAAGCCCAACUUAUGAGUGACAAAACAUGUUAAACAUUAAUUUAGUCUUCAGGCACUAUUUUAACAAGUGGUUAUUUCUUGAUAAUACUGGCAAGGAUUCAGAGAAACAGGGCUGCUUAUAUUGCUGAGAGUGUAUGUUGGCAGCACUUUUCUAGAGUGCAGUUUGGCAAUAUGUAUCAAAAGCCUUGAGCCAUGUGCAUUUGACCCAGCGAUUCUUUUAGAAAUGUGUCAUAAGCAGGCUGGGUGCAGUGGCUCAUGCCUGUAAUCCCAGCACUUUGGGAGGCCAAGGCGGGUGGAUCACCUGAGGCCAGGAGUUUGAGACCAGCCUGGCCAACAUGGUGAAACCCCGUCUCUACUAAAUACAAACAAAUUAGCUAGGUGUGGUGGUGCACGCCUGUAGUCCCAGCUACUUGGAGGCUGAGGCAGGAGAAUCGCUUGAACCCGGAAGGCGGAGGUUGCGGUGAGCUGAGAUCAUGCCACUGCACUCCAGCUUGGGUGACAGAGCAAGACUCUGUCCAAAAGAAAAGGCCAGGCACGGUGGCUCAGAGAGCCACCUGUAAUGCCAGCACUUUGGGAGUCUGAGGUGGGGUUGGAUCACCUGAGGGCACAAGUUGAAGACCAGCCUGGCCAACAUGGUGAGACCCCAUCUCUACUAAAAAUACAAAAAUUAGCUGGGCAUGCUGGCGGGUGCCUGUAGUUUCAGCUAUUGGGAAGGCUGAGAUGGGAGAAUCACUUGAGCCCAGGAGGCAGAGGUUGUAGUGAGCCGAGAUUGUGCCACUGCAUUCCAGCCUAGGUGACAGAGCGAGACUCCGUCUCAAAAAAAAAAAAAAAAAAGAGAAAUGUAUUAUAAGCAAAUAAGGGUGUGUUUAACAAGUUAAUUGCAAGAGUAUUCUUUACUGCAUCAUUUAUUAGGAGAUUGGUUAAGCAACAUCCAUACAGUGAACAGUAUUCAGCCAUUUGAAAUGAUGUGGAGGAAAUUUUAUUGACAUGAUACAUUGUUAAGAGCAAAAGAAAAAGUUUUAAAAUACAAAUGUUUAAUUUGUAAGUCUCACAAACAUCAUCUAACGAAAUAUACACGAGGUGUUAAGUCAGCCUUGCAAACGUAACUAUUUUUUCAUUAUUUUUAUAUCAGUUACUGUUAUUGGAGCAUUUUAUAUUGACUGAGGAUCUUUAUUAAAACUUCUUCAGCCUUCUGUGAAAUCUUGUUAUGAUGGCUAUAGUGACACUAUAUAAAACACAUAACCAGAAUAUGUUUAUGCUCAAAUAUUUCAAGCAAUAUUUGAUGCUUAAAAUACCAAAGUGACAAUGAAAAUGAAAGAAAUUUGGAUAGUUCCUUAGAGUUAUUUGUUUGUGUUUCAGAUAUGAACAUAAAGUAUGUUUUUAAUAUUACCAGUUUUGAGAAUAAUAGAAUAAAUGCCUUCUCACCUUAAUAAGAUGUUCUGUUCUGACUCAGUAUUCAUUUGCCAUUUAUUUUUCAAAUGUAGCUGAAAUCUCAGUCAUGUUCCAGGCACUAUGUUUUGUCUCUGAGAGAGGAAAAACCAAACUUUUUCCCUGUUCUCAAAUACUACUCAAUACAAUACUUCUGCAACAAGAUGGGGUGGGAUAGCGGUCCCCCCUCACCCCCGCCCACAUCAAACCAUCAAUUUUCUAGCAGACAUCAGCUGGGUGUCUCAAUUCUAUUCAGUUCUGACACUAUCUACCUGGAGGCAGCAUCAGAUCGAACAGAUUGAGGGCUCGGUUCUGCAAGACUGCCCCCACCACUUCCAGUACCAGCCACAAGUAGUAGGUUGUCAC
RNAcentral lists this long non-coding RNA (2713 nucleotides) under Homo sapiens (human). RNAcentral's name for it is "HSALNT0191208". The record is from RNAcentral. Lineage: Eukaryota; Metazoa; Chordata; Mammalia; Primates; Hominidae.